AGAAAUCAAACCCAGGCGGACAAAACGAGUUGGGUAUAAACGGAGGUCGGAGCCCGCUGCAAAUGGGUGGGUAAGCAGCAAGUGGGUGGAGCUUUACCCGCAAGUGGGCUGUACAAACUUCCAGAGGAUUUUGAUUGGUUUAUUUAUAUCACCUGUAGCAGCUAUUGGUUUAUGCUCCUCAGUUGGUGGCGCUAAUGCGUAAGUUUUGUAGCGAUCGAUCAGAAAACAAAGAAGAAAACCGCUUUCACAUGUCAGCGUGUCGUUGAAAUGAAGGGAUUAUGGAUUCUGAAGACCAUAAUAAUAAGGACAAUGCAGGACAAAGGCUGUCAAAUAAAUGUGGAGUGUUUGUCUUGAUGGCAAUAUGCACUGUAUGUUAUUCUGGGACAGAAGUUUGACUUCACUGAAGUAAACAUGAAGAACAUAGGAAAAUGGUGGUGUGCCAUCUUGCUUGAAAAUUAAGUAAGUGUGAAAAAAUUAGCUGUACUUUUAACGUGGUGUUUCAAGAAACUCUUAAAGAAGUGAAGAAAUCUUGUUCAGUCUGUAAACUGUUUUGGGAAGACAUGGAACGGAAUGAUUUAGUGACUCGCUCAUAACACUAUUUCAGUAAAAAUAUAUUCUGCAGACCCUUUGAGUAAAAAGAAGUAGCAAAGUGUUUCAGUGAUGAUAAAAAUCAGCAGGUGUAAACACUACUUGCUCUAUCAAACUCCUUUAAUAGCUGUUCUUAAUACUAUUAGGGGUUGGCAAGAUUUUGAAAUGUUUUUAUAUUCAAAUGUUGUUGUAUUCAUUGGUGAAUAAUUUAAAAUUGGACCAUUAAUUAGAUUUUUUUCUAUGUUUACAAAAGUCUUUUCUGUAAUUUGUAAUCAAUGUAAUGCAUCCUUGCAUUUAAUUAAUUUUGAUAUUGAACUUGUUCUAUUUCUUACUUUAUUUGUUUUUGUUGCAUGAUAAUCAAAUUGUGCAAGACAUGGGAGAAAGAGAAAAUGAGCUGUUGUAGCUGGUAUUGUCAGCUUUUUAUAUUUUGCUGAUAUUUUUUGUCAAAUAAAAAAUUAAUGGAUAAUUUUAUCACGUUUUAAUUCUAAUUCUCUUUCAGAAGAAGAAGAAGAA
This is a non-coding RNA of Misgurnus anguillicaudatus (oriental weatherfish), 1101 nucleotides long. The record is from RefSeq and is a predicted model, not a curated record. NCBI's taxonomy places the organism in Eukaryota, Metazoa, Chordata, Actinopteri, Cypriniformes, Cobitidae.